CUAAAAUUAGAAAUAUUUCAUCUAUAUUUUUUAUAAAAGCUUAUAUAUCUCAAUAUUUAAAAAAUAAUUUAUUCUCUAUAUCUCUUAUUGAUAUCUUACCUAUAUAAUCUGCAAUGGGAGAGUAAAUAGAUCAACCUUUAGUUUUUAUAUAAAAGUUAUUCUCUAAAAAUAACAUUCCUUCAAAAAUGAGAUAUACUAUAUAACAGGUUGCCAAGAUGCCAACCACAGUCGAUUAGUUGACCACACUAUAAUUUUUACUCUCUUGCAACUUUUUGGAAACAAAUUUUGUUAAACAUAACCCAUCUAAUUGAAAAUCAUAUUGAUAUUGUUUAGUCUUUUCAAUUUAUCAUAUAACAAAAUGUUCAUAUGUCAGGCUGCUGUGAUAAAGUACCAAUAGCAUACUACCAGAUGCCAGAGUCAGAUGUGAAAUAAUAUGAAGGAUUCAUCAAAACUUGAACUCAGUGUAAUCUUGAAUAAAUUAGAAAUAAAUAAAAGUUUGACAGAUUAUAUAAAGAAAAGCAUAAAAGCAGGAUUAAAUUCUAAAUAAUUAGCCUAUCAGUAAAUGUGCUUUUGUAUUUUUCUUUACAUAAUUUGUUGACAAUAGCAAAGGAUUUAAUUUCCAAUUUAAAGUAAAGUUUGGCAGAUUUUUAUAAGUACAUAUUUCCCUUAUAUGCCAUAAUAGUCCAAAAUAGAAUUCUGUUGCAUGCAUAAGAAUACUAAUAUAUGUUCGAUACUAAGUUUUGGAACCUACUUUAUAAGGAAAACUAUCCAAGUAUGUGGAGAGUUGUGGCAUAUCUCAGUUCAUUUUUUAGUGCCAUUUAUUUAUUGGAAUUAACAUUCUCUUCAAUAAAUUCCAUUAAAAAAACAUCACCCUCCUUUGAUGUCGAUCAUUUUCCUUUGAGGAGAUAUGCAUUUGAUAUCAUGUUUAUAAAUAAUAAAUUCUUAUAAAUCAUAAUAUGAAAAAGUUAUUAUAAAUAUUCAGUACCAAGUUUUAGGAACAUUUUUGAAAAAUUAUUAAUUAGGAUUCAUUUGUGUGUUAUAUUUUUUGUGUCAACUUGAUUGACUUUAUUCUCUUCUAUUCUUCUUAUUUAUAAUUUAUAUUUGGAUACUUUCUUUACUUACAUGUAUGAUGAUGAUAAAAUGUCUGUAUCUAUGGCAGUCAUAAUCCUUUAGAAAAUAAAAACAAAAUCUUGUAAAUUUGAUACCAGGUUCGUAUUGAAUAUAUAAAUUGAAUUGCCAAAUAUAAUCAAAUUGGAAUUGGGUUUAGAAAAAUUGUGUGCGCUAUAAAAAAAAAAUGCAUAAAUAAUCACUUAAAAUUAAUUUUUCAGAUUUUUAUUCAAAUUUAGAUGUUGUUGGAUUCUGCAAUUACUAGAGAAGGUCUAAGGUUUCUCUAAUCUGAAUUGGACCAAUAAUUUGUGGAGAUCUGCCAAAAACUUAUUUUUUUUUUUAU
This 1450-nucleotide long non-coding RNA is filed under the name Androctonus crassicauda. The record is from RNAcentral. Lineage: Eukaryota; Metazoa; Arthropoda; Arachnida; Scorpiones; Buthidae.